Dromiciops gliroides (monito del monte) is the source of this 391-nucleotide non-coding RNA. NCBI's taxonomy places the organism in Eukaryota, Metazoa, Chordata, Mammalia, Microbiotheria, Microbiotheriidae. The record is from the annotation of a RefSeq genome assembly.
UUCUUUAACCAGUUUUGCCAUGGGCAACAGACUUCUCUGUUGUGUGGUUAUUUUUCUGCUGGAAGUAGAGUCCAUGCAUGCUGAAAUCACUCAGAUCCCAAGACGUUUAAUCAUAGGGAAGGGACAGGCAGUGACAAUUAAAUGUCAGCAAGACACUCAACAGACUCGAAUGUUUUGGUAUCGACAAACCCCAGAGAAGGGGGGUCUAGUGCUUGUCUUUUACUCACUGGGAAAGGAUGAUAAACAGGAUGGGGAUGAUCCUCAAGGAUUUGAAGUCAACAGAACACAUAUCGAGAUUUUUAUUCUCAGUAAAUCAUCUGCACAACCCAAUGACUCUGGGAUGUAUUUCUGCAGUGCCAGCCACAGUGAUCAAAGGACAGAGCAUUUCUAA